UUACAAAAAAUAAGAAAGCAGGUGCAAGGU
RNAcentral lists this non-coding RNA (30 nucleotides) under Mus musculus (house mouse). Lineage: Eukaryota; Metazoa; Chordata; Mammalia; Rodentia; Muridae. The record is from RNAcentral.